AGACUUGUAGUUUAGUGGUAGAACGCUCGCUUUGUAGAACAUGCGAGAGAUGUAGGGUUCGAUUCCCUGCAAGUCUU
Molecule: transfer RNA, 77 nt
Filed under: Hypoxylon rubiginosum
Lineage: Eukaryota; Fungi; Ascomycota; Sordariomycetes; Xylariales; Hypoxylaceae
Description: tRNA-Thr
Rfam family: tRNA
About the family: Transfer RNA (tRNA) molecules are approximately 80 nucleotides in length. Their secondary structure includes four short double-helical elements and three loops (D, anti-codon, and T loops).
Source: RNAcentral